CGAGCACGCGCGUGUGGCAUAUCAAUAAGCGGAGGAAAAGAAACUAACAAGGAUUCCCUUAGUAACGGCGAGUGAAGCGGGAAGAGCUCAAAUUUGAAAUCUUCAAGGUUCUACCUUGACGAAUUGUAGUUUAUAGAAGUGUUUUCUGUUAGUGGAGUGGCAAAAGUUCUUUGGAAUAGGACAUCAUAGAGGGUGAGAAUCCCGUAUUUGGUCAUUCCUCCUAGCGUUGUGAUACACUUUCAACGAGUCGGAUUGUUUGGGAAUGCAGUCCAAAAUGGGUGGUAAAUUUCAUCUAAAGCUAAAUAUUGGCGAGAGACCGAUAGCGAACAAGUACCGUGAGGGAAAGAUGAAAAGAACUUUGAAAAGAGAGUUAAACAGUACGUGAAAUUGUCAAAAGGGAAGCGUUUGACACCAGUGUUGUUUUUCCGAAAAUCAAUUACGAAUGUUUUGUUUUUGAGGAGUUAUGACUUCAUCGGCUUGCUUCUUUCUUUACGAAACUUUCUUAAUGCACUUUUCGGUUAACAAGUCAACAUCAAUUUCUUUUGUUGUAAAAGGGUAUGAGGAAGGUGGCUUUCUUUUCGGAGAAAGUGUUUAUAGCCUUGUGCCUCUACAAUCGGAGAGAUUGAGGUCUGCAGCGUAGAUCCUUCGGGGUUAGAUACGUUUGUGCUAAGUUAUAGCUUUUCAUAGACAACUUGUUGACUAUGUUAGUCUUGUAGCUUACUCGCAGCAUGCUAUUUUACCUACGCUUAGGAUGUUGAGUAGCGACAUACGCAC
RNAcentral lists this ribosomal RNA (774 nucleotides) under uncultured Neocallimastigales. RNAcentral describes it as "partial large subunit ribosomal RNA". It matches the Rfam family "Eukaryotic large subunit ribosomal RNA", at positions 19 to 649 of the family's 3401-position model. The record is from RNAcentral. Lineage: Eukaryota; Fungi; Neocallimastigomycota; Neocallimastigomycetes; Neocallimastigales.